Molecule: ribosomal RNA, 550 nt
Filed under: Etisus anaglyptus
Lineage: Eukaryota; Metazoa; Arthropoda; Malacostraca; Decapoda; Xanthidae
Description: partial large subunit ribosomal RNA
Rfam family: Bacterial large subunit ribosomal RNA
Source: RNAcentral
GUCCAUUUGAAGAUGUAAAUGGUCUGGCCUGCUCACUGAUAAAAUUAUUUAAGAGCCGCGGUAUAUUGACCGUGCAAAGGUAGCAUAAUCAUUAGGGGUUUAAUUGGAACCUGGAAUGAAGGGUUGGACAAAGGAAAAACUGUCUUUAUGGUGAAAUUUGAAAUUUACCUUUAAGUGAAAAGGCUUAAAUGUUUCAGGGGGACGAUAAGACCCUAUAAAGCUUUAUAAAUAAUUUAGAUUUAGUUGAUUUAUACUUAUAAUAGUUAAGUUUAAUUAUUUUAUUUUAUUGGGGUGAUAUGAGUACAAUUAUUGUAACUGCUUAGUAGUAGUUCUGUUAUAGUAGAAUUAAACAAGUGAAUGAUCCUUAGAUUAAGAUUAUAAGACUAAGUUACUUUAGGGAUAACAGCGUUAUUUUUCUUGAGAGUUCUUAUUGAAAGAGAAGAUUGCGACCUCGAUGUUGAAUUAAAAUAUCUAUAUGAUGCAGCAGUCAUAAAAGAGGGUCUGUUCGACCUUUAAAUUUUUACAUGAUUUGAGUUCAGACCGGCGUGAG